UCCGGCUUGUCACCGGCAGUUUCUUUAGAGUGCCCAACUGAAUGAUGGCAACUAAAGAUGAGGGUUGCUCUCGUUGCGGGACUUAACCCAACAUCUCACGACACGAGCUGACGACAGCCAUGCAGCACCUGUCUCACGAUUCCCGAAGGCACCCGGACAUUUCUGCCCAGUUCCGUGGAUGUCAAGACCAGGUAAGGUUCUUCGCGUUGCAUCGAAUUGAACCACAUGCUCCACCGCUUGUGCGGGUCCCCGUCAAUUCCUUUGAGUUUUAAUCUUGCGACCGUACUCCCCAGGCGGUCUACUUCACGCGUUAGCUGCGUUACCAAGUCAAUUAAGACCCGACAACUAGUAGACAUCGUUUAGGGCGUGGACUAC
Molecule: unclassified non-coding RNA, 375 nt
Filed under: uncultured Gammaproteobacteria bacterium
Lineage: Bacteria; Pseudomonadati; Pseudomonadota; Gammaproteobacteria
Description: contains 16S-23S intergenic spacer region
Source: RNAcentral